UUUUCAGCUUUAGAGCAAAAUCAGAAACUGUCACAAAAACUUAAGAAUUUCUGUAAUGGGUCAUAUGAGUUUAUGAACACAUAAAAGGACAAUUUUGUGAUUGUCAGCUUUGAGUUGAGGAUAUAUCACAGACAUCUUGAUUGUCAGCUUUGAGUUGAGGAUAUAUCACAAGUUACAAUAAGUAAGUUGCCCUUACUUAUUUUUGCAGACAUUUCUCUCAGCCAUUAAUGAAGCAAU
Camelus ferus (Wild Bactrian camel) is the source of this 237-nucleotide long non-coding RNA. It matches the Rfam family "ST7 overlapping transcript 4 conserved region 4". NCBI's taxonomy places the organism in Eukaryota, Metazoa, Chordata, Mammalia, Artiodactyla, Camelidae. The record is from Rfam.